UUACAAGGCUCCAAUACAGAAGGUACAGCUCAUUGCUACAGAGGCUAGAAUCAAAGGGAGCAUGAGCUCCAAUACAGAAAGAAGUUUGGUUUAUCCCGUUUCUUUGUUAUCUGUAUUGAGAUGCAACUGAUAAUAAUAAGUUCAUCACGAGGACACAAGUGUAGCUUUGAAGUCAAGUAUGGCUUGUGGAUAUGUGGAGAAACAUGUAUGUAUGAAAGCCAUCAGGUUCAGAACCAUAUUUCCUAGCAGGCCAGUCUCCAACAGAACUCGCAGUAAGCCAAGAAUAUACUUUUAUUGUUAUGCAGCAUCUCUAUUGGAAGUUGAAGUCUCUGCAUGGCAUCAAUCCAUUUCCAAUCUGAUCACCUUGCAGCACUAUCGCGCCAUUACUCUGCUUAAUAUAAAUUCUUUCCAGUCCAUCAGCACGAGGCUUCCUAUUUACAAGUCUACCACAAGCCUAAGUCGCCGCUGCAUAUGUACAUAUGUACUACAAGUUUUCGCCGCUGCACUAAAAUAACCUGUAGGAAUGAUCUAAAUGGUUGAACCUCAGUCGGAUUUUCACUGCAAGUGUUGGAAUAUCACUAUGUUGUAAAUAGUUGUUCCAGUAUUUGUUUCCGAAGGAAAUAUUUGUGUGAGAAGGCAUUACUGUAAUAACUUUGAAGUAUGCCUUGUUGCUAUUGUAAUUUUGAAUUUUUCAUGAAACUGAG
Molecule: long non-coding RNA, 704 nt
Organism: Lolium perenne
Lineage: Eukaryota; Viridiplantae; Streptophyta; Magnoliopsida; Poales; Poaceae
Source: RefSeq, a predicted model, not a curated record